AAAGCGUGCGCAGGCGGUUAUAUAAGACAGAUGUGAAAUCCCCGGGCUCAACCUGGGACCUGCAUUUGUGACUGUAUAGCUAGAGUACGGUAGAGGGGGAUGGAAUUCCGCGUGUAGCAGUGAAAUGCGUAGAUAUGCGGAGGAACACCGAUGGCGAAGGCAAUCCCCUGGACCUGUACUGACGCUCAUGCACGAAAGCGUGGGGAGCAAACAGGAUUAGAUACCCCGGU
Molecule: ribosomal RNA, 230 nt
Filed under: uncultured bacterium
Lineage: Bacteria
Description: partial 16S ribosomal RNA
Rfam family: Bacterial small subunit ribosomal RNA
Source: RNAcentral